GAUGAAGAACGUAGCGAAAUGCGAUAAGUAAUGUGAAUUGCAGAAUUCAGUUAAUCAUCGAAUCUUUGAACGCACCUUGCGCCCUUUGGCUAUUCCGAAGGGCAUGCCUGUUUGAGUAUCGUGAACACCUCAACUCUCAUGGUUUGCCAUGAUGAGCUUGGACUUUGGGGGUUUUGCUGGCCUUUGGUCGGCUCCUCUCAAACGGAUCAGCUUUCCAGUGUUUGGUGGCGUCACGGGUGUGAUAACUAUCUACGCCUGUGGUUUUCUGCCAGAUAACCUUCAGCGAUGGAGGUUCGCUGGGGCUCAUAAAUGUCUCUCUUCAGUGGAGACAGCUUUUUGGACGUUUGAUCUCAAAUCAGGUAGGACUACCCGCUGAACUUAAGCAUAUCAAUAAGCGGAGGA
This 402-nucleotide unclassified non-coding RNA is filed under the name soil metagenome. RNAcentral describes it as "partial contains 5.8S ribosomal RNA, internal transcribed spacer 2, and large subunit ribosomal RNA". The stretch from base 1 to 121 matches the Rfam family "5.8S ribosomal RNA", at positions 35 to 154 of the family's 154-position model. The record is from RNAcentral.